CAUGCAAGUCGAACGGCAGCACGGGAGCUUGCUCCUGGUGGCGAGUGGCGAACGGGUGAGUAAUGCACCGGAACGUACCCAGUAAUGGGGGAUAACACAUCGAAAGAUGUGCUAAUACCGCAUACGCCCUGAGGGGGAAAGCGGGGGAUCGUAAGACCUCGCGUUAUUGGAGCGGCCGAUGCCGGAUUAGCUAGUUGGUGGGGUAAAGGCUCACCAAGGCGACGAUCCGUAGCUGGUCUGAGAGGACGACCAGCCACACUGGGACUGAGACACGGCCCAGACUCCUACGGGAGGCAGCAGUGGGGAAUUUUGGACAAUGGGGGAAACCCUGAUCCAGCCAUGCCGCGUGAGUGAAGAAGGCCUUCGGGUUGUAAAGCUCUUUCGCAAGGAAAGAAAACUUAUCCGCUAAUACCGGGUGAGGUUGACGGUACCUUGAUAAGAAGCACCGGCUAACUACGUGCCAGCAGCCGCGGUAAUACGUAGGGUGC
Molecule: ribosomal RNA, 488 nt
Filed under: uncultured bacterium
Lineage: Bacteria
Description: bacterial SSU rRNA
Rfam family: Bacterial small subunit ribosomal RNA
Source: RNAcentral